This 254-nucleotide ribosomal RNA is filed under the name uncultured prokaryote. RNAcentral describes it as "partial 16S ribosomal RNA". It matches the Rfam family "Bacterial small subunit ribosomal RNA", at positions 525 to 777 of the family's 1533-position model. The record is from RNAcentral.
ACGUAGGGGGCGAGCGUUGUCCGGAUUUAUUGGGCGUAAAGAGCUCGUAGGCGGCUUUGUCAGUCGGGUGUGAAACCUCCAGGCUCAACCUGGAGCCGCCACCCGAUACUGCAAUAGCUAGAGUCCGGUAGGGGAGCAUGGAACUCCUGGUGUAGCGGUGAAAUGCGCAGAUAUCAGGAGGAAUACCGAUGGCGUAGGCAGGCUACUGGCUCGUCCCUGACACUAAGGCACGAAAGCGUGGGGAGCGACCGGGA